Molecule: transfer RNA, 76 nt
Filed under: archaeon
Lineage: Archaea
Description: tRNA-Ile
Rfam family: tRNA
About the family: Transfer RNA (tRNA) molecules are approximately 80 nucleotides in length. Their secondary structure includes four short double-helical elements and three loops (D, anti-codon, and T loops).
Source: RNAcentral
GGGCCUGUAGCUUAGCCUGGUUUGGAGCACUCGACUGAUAAUCGAGAGGUCCGAGGUUCAAAUCCUCGCAGGCCCA